UAGUGCGACUUGUUAGAUAUAUUAGGUCAUAUGGUAUUUCCCCGUUCUCCACCAAUAGAGAUAUCCCUCGUUUUGCUCAAGAAAUCUAAAUUGAAUCAUCCAAAAUUUGGAGCGUGAAGUGCAAUUAGAUCCAUUUUUGAGGGGAUUCAUAUUACUAUUAUCAAUUAGAAUAAUUUAUGGUUGACUUGGUUGGACUAAA
RNAcentral lists this long non-coding RNA (199 nucleotides) under Solanum pimpinellifolium. Its description in RNAcentral is "long non-coding RNA (SPIM_LNC000257)". The record is from RNAcentral. Lineage: Eukaryota; Viridiplantae; Streptophyta; Magnoliopsida; Solanales; Solanaceae.